UUCCAUGUAUGAUGAUACAAAUAAUUUACAGUUAUCCCUGUCUGAGAUAUAUCUGCUGAAAACAUGUAAUCUGACAUGGAA
RNAcentral lists this small nucleolar RNA (81 nucleotides) under Erythranthe guttata (spotted monkey flower). RNAcentral's name for it is "Mimulus guttatus (spotted monkey flower) Small nucleolar RNA R38". It matches the Rfam family "Small nucleolar RNA R38". Rfam says of the family: snoR38 is a C/D box small nucleolar RNA conserved across yeast, human, Arabidopsis and rice. It is encoded in the intron of elongation factor-1 gamma in both pombe and cerevisiae. snoR38 guides the methylation of 2'-O-ribose sites in 28S rRNA. The record is from Rfam by way of RNAcentral. Lineage: Eukaryota; Viridiplantae; Streptophyta; Magnoliopsida; Lamiales; Phrymaceae.